AGCGAACGCUGGCGGCGUGCUUAACACAUGCAAGUCGAACGUGAAAUGUAGCAAUACAGAGUAAAGUGGCGUACGGGUGAGUAACACGUGGGUAAUCUACCAAAGUGUCUGGAAUAACCGAUCGAAAGGUUGGCUAAUACUGGAUAGUUCAAGCUUGUUAUAAUGGCAAGAUUGGGAAAGGGAGCUGGCAACAGCCUUCGCAUUUUGAUGAGCUCGCGUCUGAUUAGUUAGUUGGUAAGGUAAUGGCUUACCAAGACGAAGAUCAGUAGCUGGUCUGAGAGGAUGAUCAGCCACACUGGAACUGAAACACGGUCCAGACUCCUACGGAGGCAGCAGUGGGGGAAUCUUGCGCAAUGGACGAAAGUCUGACGCAGCCACGCCGCGUGAGUGAAGAAGGCCU
RNAcentral lists this ribosomal RNA (400 nucleotides) under uncultured bacterium. RNAcentral describes it as "bacterial SSU rRNA". It matches the Rfam family "Bacterial small subunit ribosomal RNA", at positions 29 to 417 of the family's 1533-position model. The record is from RNAcentral.